RNAcentral lists this ribosomal RNA (253 nucleotides) under uncultured archaeon. RNAcentral's name for it is "partial 16S ribosomal RNA". It matches the Rfam family "Archaeal small subunit ribosomal RNA", at positions 474 to 727 of the family's 1478-position model. The record is from RNAcentral.
AACCAGCACCUCAAGUGGUCAGGGUGAUUAUUGGGCCUAAAGCAUCCGUAGCCUGUUCUGUAAGCUUUCGGUUAAAUCUAUGCGCUCAACGUAUAGGCUGCCGAAAAUACUGCAGAACUAGGGAGUGGGAGAGGUAGACGGUACUCGGUAGGAAGGGGUAAAAUCCUUUGAUCUAUUGAUGACCACCUGUGGCGAAAGCGGCUGGCUGGGGCCACUCUGACGCUGAGGCGCGAAAGCGUGGGGAGCAAACAGG